ACGAGCGACAGCCCAGCCGUAUGACCCACGAUCCAUCUCAUCUUCCACCUCUAGCGCGCCGCACCCCUGCCACGCCGCCGGUCUUAGCCCCUACCCUACCCCAAGUCCCCCCACCCUCGCGGCCUUCCACCGCUGGCGAGAGUCCACGGUGCGGCCGCUGCUAGCUCCCCCUGCCUCUGCUACCACGGCACCGCCGGGAAUCUUAUCCCCCGCCAUGCGAGUUGUCAUGGAGGCAGAGCUGAUUCGCCACGGGUGUGACGGCGGGGGUAAAGAUGAUGGUGCACUUGGAGGCACUGGGACGGGGAGCGAGGUGAAGAAGAUGGGGUAGAAAGCAGUUGUGGUGCAUGUGUGCCUCACCUCCAUUGUUUUGUGACCAAGCCCACCUGAAAUCUAGGCGGCAAAUUAUUCAUGGAUAUGCGGUACAAACCAUCCCUAUGAGAAAUCCAAUGGAUUCGAUGCGAAUUGAGGAAGGAGCCGGAGCAGAUGGUGGGUUGAGGAAGGAGCUGGAGCAGAGGCGGAUUUGAGGCUUCCCCUACACGUGCUAAGAGGCAGGAGGAAAAUAUGAGGCACCGGCGAUCCGGACGCUGCAGUGUUUUCUCCGUCUCUCCUGGUGCGAGACCAUAAAUUCAGAGGAUGUGCAAGAUGAAACAUGGUGCAUGAUGCUUCAUGAGCAUAAUUGUAAUGAUUACAAACUUUCUUAGGAAAACCAAUACAACAGUGAUAAAUAUAAUUUCAUUUAUAGCACAUGUUUUGAACUGUAUUUUAUAUACAAUUUCUAUAUCAUGGUGGAACACAAAAUGUAAAUAGAAAAGAAUAGCAC
Triticum aestivum (bread wheat) is the source of this 820-nucleotide long non-coding RNA. RefSeq lists it as uncharacterized. Lineage: Eukaryota; Viridiplantae; Streptophyta; Magnoliopsida; Poales; Poaceae. The transcript is spliced from 3 exons. The record is from RefSeq and is a predicted model, not a curated record.